Molecule: long non-coding RNA, 587 nt
Organism: Vigna angularis (adzuki bean)
Lineage: Eukaryota; Viridiplantae; Streptophyta; Magnoliopsida; Fabales; Fabaceae
Exons: 4
Source: RefSeq, a predicted model, not a curated record
GUGAAAAGUUUAUUGAAAGUUUUCGUUCCUAGUCGACCCUUUCAUCUUGGAAGAGAAAGUCUAGGGUUAGGGUUGAGAGAGAGCGAGAAAGAAAAAAAAAAGGAGAACUCCAUGACUGCCACAGGCUGGACGUGAUCGGUGAUCAGAAGAGUUGGAACCGGCAAAGAUGAUGCACAUAUUUUCUGCAGGGAGUCCAGGUGAAAGAUCAGAUCCAACAAGCAGGAUUUCACGUUUAGGCUUAUACAACUGAUAGGAAGAUUCAAAAGAAGGUCAAGGUAUUGGGCAGAAGGAAUCCACAUUGCCAUAUUUAGAACCCGAAGUCACUGGGCAAAGAUUGGUUGUCAGAGCCAACUUUGUUUGUGCUGGAAUUGGAAUUGUCAAUACUGGAAGAGUUUGAAAAGUGUUGCUUUGAAAACCCUUGGACAAUAUUAGAUAGAAAAAAUCGUAGGUACAUUGAAUAGAUUAUUAUGAAGUUUUUUGUCUUCGGAUAUAUGUAUGAAUUCAUAUGUAUUGUUAGGAAACACAAUUGUAAUUUUGAAUGAUCUUAACUCUUCAUAUUUUUUGAUGAAUAAAGGUUGAAUAUUUGA